UAACCGCGAUUCAGGAACUGUGCUUUGCCUCCCGAUGCCUAAGAAGUGUUACACAAGGACGUAAUUGUUUCCAGAACUUAAAAUUGGAUUUUGCAACCCUACUGCUAGGGACAUGUUAGUCCUGGAGUAAACACAGUAAAUGAAGAUAACAUUGAUGUAUAUAUGACUGGAAAAACAUAUGUGAAGCUGGAUGGGACGAGGUUCACUGGAUUAAUAUGGCUGAGAACAGAGAUCAGUGGACAUUCAACGUUAAAAUAUGGUUGAAGAAGAAGCACUCUGAGCACUGGGCUGCAGCAGGCAUGGAGCAAUCAAAGCCAUUUAUUGAAUGGUCUUCAGAGAAAUUGUCCAGGAACAUAUUAGCCUCAGACCAGAAAUAUUGCAGGCUGCUGCUGGGGAUAUCGAUUGGUCACUGUUCAAUGAGGCACCACCUAUGUAUCACAGACCUCUUGGAAAACACCAUAUGCAGAAAAUACAGUUCAAUUUCAGAUCUCUUCCUUGGGAUUGCUGAAUGACUACCAAACUCUGAAAUCUGUCACCUUCAGAGAUUGCUAUAAAGAAAUGGUGCUGGAAUCGUCAUCAAGACUGGAAAUUUGUUGCUGAACAAUGUCUCGAGUUAGUUCAAUCUACAUAGUUCACCCAUCUUCGUGAAACAGUUUCCUCAGUACUGACUUCAGGAUUUACAUCCCAACCUCAUCUCGCCUUACAAGGUGUCCCAUGAGGCGUGACCGCUGUCCAUGACGUCUGCCUAGCGAACAGUGUCAGGGAUAUUCGUAUCUGGCUCCAGUUUCGUCAAGAUUUUCCUCAGUUACCACAGCAUCCUGCCUAUAGAAUAAUCCUUGUCUAAGAAAGAUCCAGUUGAACUCACUUUCUUCACGAGUUCUGAAAUCUUUGAUGACGCUGUGACUCGAGC
Long non-coding RNA from Cryptotermes secundus, 910 nucleotides. RefSeq lists it as uncharacterized. The record is from RefSeq and is a predicted model, not a curated record. The transcript has 5 exons. NCBI's taxonomy places the organism in Eukaryota, Metazoa, Arthropoda, Insecta, Blattodea, Kalotermitidae.